UAACAUGAGAGUUUGAUCCUGGCUCAGGAUGAACGCUGGCGGCGUGCUUAACACAUGCAAGUCGAACGGAGUAAUUAA
This 78-nucleotide ribosomal RNA is filed under the name Defluviitalea raffinosedens. Its description in RNAcentral is "partial 16S ribosomal RNA". It matches the Rfam family "Bacterial small subunit ribosomal RNA", at positions 1 to 78 of the family's 1533-position model. Lineage: Bacteria; Bacillati; Bacillota; Clostridia; Lachnospirales; Defluviitaleaceae. The record is from RNAcentral.